UACGUAGGGUGCAAGCGUUGUCCGGAAUUAUUGGGCGUAAAGAGCUCGUAGGCGGUUCGUCGCGUCGGCUGUGAAAACCUGAGGCUCAACCUCAGGCCUGCAGUCGAUACGGGCGGACUUGAGUACUGCAGGGGAGACUGGAAGUUCCUGGUGUAGCGGUGAAAUGCGCAGAUAUCAGGAGGAACACCGGUGGCGAAGGCGGGUCUCUGGGCCGGUACUGACGCUGAGGAGCGAAAGCGUGGGGAGCAAACAGG
Molecule: ribosomal RNA, 254 nt
Filed under: uncultured bacterium
Lineage: Bacteria
Description: partial 16S ribosomal RNA
Rfam family: Bacterial small subunit ribosomal RNA
Source: RNAcentral